Long non-coding RNA from Populus euphratica (Euphrates poplar), 445 nucleotides. RefSeq lists it as uncharacterized. The transcript has 3 exons. NCBI's taxonomy places the organism in Eukaryota, Viridiplantae, Streptophyta, Magnoliopsida, Malpighiales, Salicaceae. The record is from RefSeq and is a predicted model, not a curated record.
AAAAAAAGAGAGGAAAGAGGAGCCCUAAACUAUCACUUUCAAGGCCAGCAGCCACCGCCCACCCGACUGAAUUUUCUGAUAGAUCUCUCUGUCUUUCCCUUUGAUUUUCUUCUUCCCUACAACAAUCUGUCCCUUUCAUCUAACCCAUGCAACCCUCUUUCUCCACUACAACCACUCCCACUCCAACCUGCCUCUUCAAGGCCGCUCAACACCAUUUCCUUCUCCCUCAACCAAACAGCCGCCCCUCUUCAGCUUUGGUUUUUCUCUACCCAUGUUGUAGCCCUUUCUCUCUUUGACAGAACAUUAAGCCAGCCAUCACCCUUCUCAACCACGACCCCAUCUCCACUGACCAAAGGAUGGCAGAGUUGUUCCCAUCUCCUCAGACCCAUGGUCUCCUUCUUUAGCCAGCAGGUUUUUCCUUCCUCAGCCGUCGAACAGCCUCCAA